GACCCCAGGUCAGGCGGGAUUAC
This 23-nucleotide ribosomal RNA is filed under the name Scutellaria baicalensis. Its description in RNAcentral is "partial 26S ribosomal RNA". Lineage: Eukaryota; Viridiplantae; Streptophyta; Magnoliopsida; Lamiales; Lamiaceae. RNAcentral also lists the same sequence under 1 other name. The record is from RNAcentral.